Myotis brandtii (Brandt's bat) is the source of this 75-nucleotide non-coding RNA. Lineage: Eukaryota; Metazoa; Chordata; Mammalia; Chiroptera; Vespertilionidae. The record is from Rfam.
GGCGGUUCUCGGAUGACACAACCCAGAAUCGGGCUUCCUGCUCUCUGGUUCCAGGUGUGUCACCCAAGAACUGCA